Molecule: non-coding RNA, 630 nt
Organism: Arachis ipaensis
Lineage: Eukaryota; Viridiplantae; Streptophyta; Magnoliopsida; Fabales; Fabaceae
Source: RefSeq, a predicted model, not a curated record
UAAAAUUAAAAUUUUUUUAGUUGUCUAAAACACAAAUCGGACGGUUCGAUUUGUGUACUGCAAAUUUUUUUAAAUUUUUAAACACAAAUCGGAGGGCUCUUGACACCACAACUGCGUAAAGCACCCAUACAUUCCAUAACUGUGUCCUACACCACUUCCUCUUCCAUAUCUAAAUUAAAAAGUGCAAUGUUUGGUGCGUGGGAGUAUGCGGAUUCAAUAACUUUUUUUGGUGAAAAUGGGGAGUGUUGAAGAGAUGCAGUCACUCUGCAUUUUUAUGUUGAUGGAGUUCAAUUAGGAACCAAUUAUCUUUCGAGGUGCAAAGGCUUCAAAACAAGAUUGCAAAUAAAUCAAAGGCCAUUGACUAUUUGUGCAACAAACCCCAACUCUAGUGGUAAACAACUACCCAAUGAAGGGUCAAAUUCAAAUUCAAAAGAAACAAGCAAUGCUGGUCAGGGACCUCCUCUCCUUACUAUUUUGGCUGGGCUCUUUGUUUUUUUCAUCGUUUGCUGGGUCAUUGGGUCUAUUAUAAUGUGGCUCGUAAGUUUGAUUGUUAAUUUAUCUCCCAAAUAAUUCUGUGUAUUGCAUUUUAUUGACGCUUUGUUUAACUUACGCAAUUGCAAUUAGUUCGUA